AAUGAACGCUGGCGGCAUGCCUAACACAUGCAAGUCGAACGAAGGCUUCGGCCUUAGUGGCGCACGGGUGCGUAACGCGUGGGAAUCUGCCCUCAGGUUCGGAAUAACAGCGAGAAAUUGCUGCUAAUACCGGAUGAUAUCGCGAGAUCAAAGAUUUAUCGCCCGAGGAUGAGCCCGCGUAGGAUUAGCUAGUUGGUGUGGUAAAGGCGCACCAAGGCGACGAUCCUUAGCUGGUCUGAGAGGAUGAUCAGCCACACUGGGACUGAGACACGGCCCAGACUCCUACGGGAGGCAGCAGUGGGGAAUAUUGGACAAUGGGCGCAAGCCUGAUCCAGCAAUGCCGCGUGAGUGAUGAAGGCCUUAGGGUUGUAAAGCUCUUUUACCAGGGAUGAUAAUGACAGUACCUGGAGAAUAAGCUCCGGCUAACUCCGUGCCAGCCGCCGCCGUAA
This 449-nucleotide ribosomal RNA is filed under the name uncultured bacterium. RNAcentral's name for it is "partial 16S ribosomal RNA". It matches the Rfam family "Bacterial small subunit ribosomal RNA", at positions 29 to 523 of the family's 1533-position model. The record is from RNAcentral.